RNAcentral lists this ribosomal RNA (1676 nucleotides) under Acinetobacter baumannii. RNAcentral describes it as "bacterial LSU rRNA". It matches the Rfam family "Bacterial large subunit ribosomal RNA", at positions 1270 to 2925 of the family's 2925-position model. The record is from RNAcentral. RNAcentral also lists the same sequence under 28 other names. Lineage: Bacteria; Pseudomonadati; Pseudomonadota; Gammaproteobacteria; Moraxellales; Moraxellaceae.
AUGCUGGAGGUAUCAGAAGUGCGAAUGCUGACGUGAGUAACGACAAAACGGGUGAAAAACCCGUUCGCCGAAAGACCAAGGGUUCCAGUCCAACGUUAAUCGGGGCUGGGUGAGUCGACCCCUAAGGCGAGGCCGAAAGGCGUAGUCGAUGGGAAAAUGGUUAAUAUUCCAUUACUUCUGUGUAAUGCGAUGAGAGGACGGAGAAGGCUAAAUCAGCCUGGCGUUGGUUGUCCAGGUGAAAGGAUGUAGGCAUGUAUCUUAGGCAAAUCCGGGGUACUCUAUGCUGAGAUCUGAUAGCAAGCUGUACUUGUACAGCGAAGUGGUUGAUGCCAUGCUUCCAGGAAAAGUCUCUAAGCUUCAGUUACACAGGAAUCGUACCCGAAACCGACACAGGUGGUCAGGUCGAGUAGACCAAGGCGCUUGAGAGAACUCUGCUGAAGGAACUAGGCAAAAUGGUACCGUAACUUCGGGAGAAGGUACGCUGUUGUUGGUGAUGGAACUCGCUUCCUGAGCUGACGACAGCCGCAGAAACCAGGCCGCUGCAACUGUUUAUUAAAAACAUAGCACUCUGCAAACACGAAAGUGGACGUAUAGGGUGUGAUGCCUGCCCGGUGCUGGAAGGUUAAUUGAUGGGGUUAGCGUAAGCGAAGCUCUUGAUCGAAGCCCCAGUAAACGGCGGCCGUAACUAUAACGGUCCUAAGGUAGCGAAAUUCCUUGUCGGGUAAGUUCCGACCUGCACGAAUGGCAUAAUGAUGGCGGCGCUGUCUCCAGCAGAGGCUCAGUGAAAUCGAAAUCGCUGUGAAGAUGCAGUGUACCCGCGGCUAGACGGAAAGACCCCGUGAACCUUUACUGCAGCUUGACACUGAACUUUGACCUUACUUGUGUAGGAUAGGUGGGAGGCUUUGAAGCUGGAACGCUAGUUCCAGUGGAGCCGUCCUUGAAAUACCACCCUGGUAAUGUUGAGGUUCUAACUCUGUCCCGUGAUCCGGGACGAGGACCGUGUCUGGUGGGUAGUUUGACUGGGGCGGUCUCCUCCUAAAGAGUAACGGAGGAGUACGAAGGUGCGCUCAGCGUGGUCGGAAAUCACGCGUAGAGUAUAAAGGCAAAAGCGCGCUUAACUGCGAGACCCACAAGUCGAGCAGGUACGAAAGUAGGUCUUAGUGAUCCGGUGGUUCUGUAUGGAAGGGCCAUCGCUCAACGGAUAAAAGGUACUCUGGGGAUAACAGGCUGAUACCGCCCAAGAGUUCAUAUCGACGGCGGUGUUUGGCACCUCGAUGUCGGCUCAUCUCAUCCUGGGGCUGAAGCAGGUCCCAAGGGUAUGGCUGUUCGCCAUUUAAAGAGGUACGCGAGCUGGGUUUAGAACGUCGUGAGACAGUUCGGUCCCUAUCUACCGUGGGCGCUGGAAAUUUGAGAGGAUCUGCUCCUAGUACGAGAGGACCAGAGUGGACGAACCUCUGGUGUACCGGUUGUGACGCCAGUCGCAUCGCCGGGUAGCUAUGUUCGGAAGGGAUAACCGCUGAAAGCAUCUAAGCGGGAAGCCUACCUCAAGAUAAGAUUUCCCUAGGACUUUAUGUCCUCUAAAGAGCCGUUCGAGACUAGGACGUUGAUAGGUUGGAUGUGGAAGCAUAGUGAUAUGUGAAGCUGACCAAUACUAAUUGCUCGUGAGGCUUGACUAU